This is a non-coding RNA of Arachis ipaensis, 616 nucleotides long. The record is from RefSeq and is a predicted model, not a curated record. NCBI's taxonomy places the organism in Eukaryota, Viridiplantae, Streptophyta, Magnoliopsida, Fabales, Fabaceae.
GGCGUGACCUCCAUUAACAACGAACUGCCGUCUGCAUCUGUUUCAACCACAUAGCACAGGUCACCGGCAAGCAUUGUAUCCCGUUGUUCUGUUUCCACCGUCCUCUCGGAUCGCACAGUCCACCGCCCAAUAACACAGUCCACCGUCCACCACCGGCGCCCACCCUCUCUCUCUUCUCUUUCUUUCCUCGUUCCCCAUUUCUCCCUGCCGUGUUCGCUACCCCCAUGCCCCUGUUCGCGCCUGCCAGCUCCGGCGAGCAACACCCCAGUGCAACCCAGCAGCGGCUAAGUUCUAUGCCGCUGCGACACCAUCAUUGCCCCCGUUCUUCUUUCUCUCCUUCAUCAACGCAGGUACUGGUGUUGCUUGUGCAAUCUUUGCUUUCACUCUUGGAAAGGUCGUGGAAGUGACGGGUGUGAAUGAGCUAAAAACUGAUGAGACGGAACUUGGUCAUAUUGUAGAAUUGGAUUUAGUGUACCAUUCACUGAAUUCAAGUAUGCUUGGAGUUGUUGUAGUUAGAUAUAUAUAAGUGAUUAACUUAUAACAGAGUUAUGUGACAUUUAGAUUUGUAAAACAAGUACUAAAUUGUAUUUUUCUUUAGCUAUUUAAACUAAGUCAG